Molecule: ribosomal RNA, 140 nt
Filed under: uncultured Microbacteriaceae bacterium
Lineage: Bacteria; Bacillati; Actinomycetota; Actinomycetes; Micrococcales; Microbacteriaceae
Description: partial 16S rRNA
Rfam family: Bacterial small subunit ribosomal RNA
Source: RNAcentral
UGGGGAAUAUUGCACAAUGGGCGCAAGCCUGAUGCAGCAACGCCGCGUGAGGGACGACGGCCUUCGGGUUGUAAACCUCUUUUGGCAGGGAAGAAGCGAAAGUGACGGUACCUGCAGAAAAAGCACCGGCUAACUACGUG